AGUGGGUGGUGUGGUAAGAUU
Molecule: microRNA, 21 nt
Filed under: Solanum tuberosum (potato)
Lineage: Eukaryota; Viridiplantae; Streptophyta; Magnoliopsida; Solanales; Solanaceae
Description: stu-miR482e-5p
Gene: stu-miR482e-5p
Source: miRBase by way of RNAcentral